GAGCGGCAAAGCUCAAUUUGAAUCUAGCACCUUCGGUGUUCGAGUUGUAAUUUGAAGAUGGUAACCUUGGGUUUGGCUCUUGUCUAUGUUCCUUGGAACAGGACGUCAUAGAGGGUGAGAAUCCCGUCUGAUGAGAUGCCCAUUCCUAUGUAAGGUGCUAUCGAAGAGUCGAGUGGUUUGG
RNAcentral lists this ribosomal RNA (181 nucleotides) under uncultured Wickerhamomyces. RNAcentral's name for it is "partial 26S ribosomal RNA". It matches the Rfam family "Eukaryotic large subunit ribosomal RNA", at positions 104 to 277 of the family's 3401-position model. Lineage: Eukaryota; Fungi; Ascomycota; Saccharomycetes; Phaffomycetales; Phaffomycetaceae. The record is from RNAcentral.